CCUACGGGAGGCAGCAGUGAGGAAUAUUGGUCAAUGGGCGCGAGCCUGAACCAGCCAAGUAGCGUGAAGGAUGACUGCCCUACGGGUUGUAAACUUCUUUUAUAAAGGAAUAAAGUGAGGCACGUGUGCCUUUUUGUAUGUACUUUAUGAAUAAGGAGCGGCUAACUCCGUGCCAGCAGCCGCGGUAAUACGGAGGAUCCGAGCGUUAUCCGGAUGUAUUGGGUUUAAAGGGAGCGUAGGUGGAUUGUUAAGUCAGUUGGGUAAGUUUGCGGCUCAACCGUAAAAUUGCAGUUGCAACUGGCAGUCUUGCGUACAGUCGCGGUGGGCGGCCUUCGUGUUGUAGCGGU
This 347-nucleotide ribosomal RNA is filed under the name uncultured bacterium. RNAcentral describes it as "partial 16S ribosomal RNA". It matches the Rfam family "Bacterial small subunit ribosomal RNA", at positions 338 to 682 of the family's 1533-position model. The record is from RNAcentral.